GUGCCCGUAGCUCAGUCGGAUAGAGCGAUAGCCUCCUAAGCUGUAGGCCGCAGGUUCGAUUCCUGCCGGGCACGCCA
RNAcentral lists this transfer RNA (77 nucleotides) under Desulfovibrio sp. RNAcentral describes it as "tRNA-Arg". It matches the Rfam family "tRNA". From Rfam's summary of the family: Transfer RNA (tRNA) molecules are approximately 80 nucleotides in length. Their secondary structure includes four short double-helical elements and three loops (D, anti-codon, and T loops). Lineage: Bacteria; Pseudomonadati; Thermodesulfobacteriota; Desulfovibrionia; Desulfovibrionales; Desulfovibrionaceae. The record is from RNAcentral.